Molecule: long non-coding RNA, 1847 nt
Filed under: Bemisia tabaci
Lineage: Eukaryota; Metazoa; Arthropoda; Insecta; Hemiptera; Aleyrodidae
Description: lncRNA ENSASIAIIG005816
Source: RNAcentral
AUCUCCAAAUUUCAAGGAAAAAUAUGCAUGACUGCCCUGAAAAACUCAUGUUGUCUCCGAGAAAAUUUGAUAACUCUCGAAUGUACGCACGGCUUCCUUCCUUAGCACGGCAGGAUAUGAGGGGGACUUCCAAGGAGACUUCAACGAACAGCUAGAAACAUGGAGGUCACUUUCCAACUCCACGCUGACUCUGGUUCAUAUACCAUGCCUCCGUCGUCUCUGUGAUUUGCAUCGCCGGGAGUUGUGCGCUGUUCAACUACAUCUACUUGGGCGUGAGCCGCGCGGUCGGGGUGGCGGCCAUGUUCGGCAUUUUCACCGUUUGCAGUUUCGCCGCCGCCAUCUUCUCCUGGCUUUACGUAUUCGAGACGAAGAACAUGUCUCUCUCGGAGAUCCAAGCCAUCAUGACAGGGCGACAACGAACUGGCAGCAGGCCAUCGCACGAGUUGAACGAUCUAUCUUAGCUUAUUUCAUCUGAGAUCUUCUCGUAUAACCGAAUCAGGGUGGCCUAGGGUGCGGCUUAUUUUCGUCAUGUCGGAAAAUCGACGAGGUCCGGGUGGCAAUCGAUGAUACCUAUGAAAAUAAUAGGCUGUAUUAAAUUUGAGCCAAUUUGAAGCUUUUUUAGCUGAUGCUCAAAGGGAUCAAAACUAAGGGGCAAAAUUACAUUGGUUUAAAUGGGCGGAAAAACGCCUGAUCUGCGCAAAUGCGUUUUUUGGAUCUAAAAUGCGCUUGAAUGAAGAAAACCUGGCCAACUCUUAUUCAGGCAUCUAGGGGCCCAUUUGAAACGAGAAAAUCACACUUUUGACCCAUGGGUGAGGGUAGGGGGUUCCGGCGUAGCCGGUUUUGAGGCGCUGCGCCCGGAGUUAAGAAUUCGCUUCUGAUCGAACUCAAAAUACGUUUUCCAAAGUUGAAGAGGCAAAUUUAUCUCACAACUUGAUGAGAAAUAAUGUAUAAUAGUUGUUUUAGCCCUUGAGAACUAUACUUGGCCCUUUACAAUGUUACCUCACAUACUAUUUCUCGAGCCUGGAACGAAAUUGGUGUAUAUAUUUUAUCUUGCAGUCGAGUGAUCCCCUUACCCUCACCCAUGGUUCAAAAGUGUGAUUUUCUCGUUUCAAAUGGGCCCGUAGAUGCCUGAAUAAGAGUUGGCCAGGUUUUCUUCAUUCAAGCGCAUUUUAGAUCCAAAAAACGCAUUUGCGCAGAUCAGGCGUUUUUCCGCCCAUUUAAACCAAUGUAAUUUUGCCCCUUAGUUUUGAUCCCUUUGAGCAUCAGCUAAAAAAGCUUCAAAUUGGCUCAAAUUUAAUACAGCCUAUUAUUUUCAUAGGUAUCAUCGAUUGCCACCCGGACCUCGUCGAUUUUCCGACAUGACGAAAAUAAGCCGCACCCUAGGGUGGCCUCAGUCAGGGAAUUUGUCGCUCCUCUGACGUAACGUAACUCAAUUUCCACGUGCGCCCUGUUUUACAUAGAAAUCCAUGCUUUCUGGGGCUCAUGAGAAAAUCGAGAUACGCCCUUACGUCGGAGGGGCGACGAAUUAUGAAAAGUCAGGGAAACCUGGAAAUGUUGGGAAAAUGACAUAGGCAAUUGUCAGGGAAAAAUGUUUAAGUCGAUUUUAUUUGCCUGCGAGAUUGGGUUUUUGGAUGUUUCGGAAACCGAAUUUCGCCUGCCAACUAUUCCGAAGUAUGUCUAUUUAAUCAUUCGGCUUAUCUUCAAUUCUGCCGUGCUAAGGAAGAACGUCGUAUGAACUUUCGGACGUUGCCAAGUUUUCUUCGAUAAAAACCGGAUUUACUAGAAAAACUGUGAAUAUUUUCCCCCAAAAUUUUCAGGCAAUUUUGUACGCAAUUUAAUCUAAAAUA